This 465-nucleotide ribosomal RNA is filed under the name uncultured Arsenophonus sp. RNAcentral describes it as "partial 16S ribosomal RNA". It matches the Rfam family "Bacterial small subunit ribosomal RNA", at positions 338 to 795 of the family's 1533-position model. The record is from RNAcentral. Lineage: Bacteria; Pseudomonadati; Pseudomonadota; Gammaproteobacteria; Enterobacterales; Morganellaceae.
CCUACGGGUGGCUGCAGUGGGGAAUCUUGCACAAUGGGCGCAAGCCUGAUGCAGCCAUGCCGCGUGUAUGAAGAAGGCCUUCGGGUUGUAAAGUACUUUCAGUCGUGAGGAAGGUGUUAAGGUUAAUAACCUUAGCAAUUGACGUUAGCGACAGAAGAAGCACCGGCUAACUCCGUGCCAGCAGCCGCGGUAAUACGGAGGGUGCGAGCGUUAAUCGGAAUUACUGGGCGUAAAGGGCGCGUAGGCGGACAUUAAAGGAGGGGGGGAAAUCCGGAGCCUCAACCGGGGAACUGCCUUGGAUAAGGGGUGUCUGGGGUAGGAGGGAGGGGGGGGAAACUCGGGGUGUGGGGGAAAAAUUCGUAGAUAUGCGGAAGAACCCCAGGGGCGAAGGCGACACCCUGGCUAAUUACGGAGGCGGGGGCGAGAAGGGGUGGGGAGAAAACAGGAUUAGAUACCCAAGUAGCC